CAGACCUUACAAUGCGACCCCAACCCCAUUACAGCCCCGGGACCCCAAUCCUGAGCCUCCCCACCAACCCAACACGUAGAUCUCACAAACGAUACCCCAACCAACAGCUCCGGGACCCGCGUGGGACCCCCCCCCCCCCCCCCCCCCCCCGCCCUCCCCCUCCCCCCCGGCCCCCACCCACCCAGCACGUAGAUCUUGCCCUGGUAGACGGUGACGCCCAGGGCGCUGCGCCGGUACCGCAUGGGGGCCACGAAGCUCCACGUGUCGCUUUCCACGUCGUAACGCUCGGUGCUGUUGAGCUGAUCCGUCCCAUCGUAGCCCCCCAUGGCGUAGAUGCAGUUGUUGAGGGCGCAGACCCCUGGGGGGGGGAAGGGGGGGGAUCGUAAGGGGGUUGGGGUGGUGGGAGGGUGGGGUGUCGUGGAUCGGGUUGAGGGUGGGAUGAUGGAAAGGUGGGAUCACAAGGAUUGGGGUCGCAGGAGGGUGGGAUUGCAAUGGUUGGGGUCAAGGAAGGGGGAGGUUGGAGGAGGAUGGGAUCCCAAGGAUUGGGGUCAUGGAGGGGUGGGACCGUGGAGAGGUGGGAUCAUAGAAAGGUGGGAUCGUGGAGAGGUGGGAUCAUGGAAGGAUGGGAUCAUGGAGAGUUUGGAUCACCAGGGUUGGGAUCAUGGAAGGGUGGGAUCAUGGAACAGUGGGAUUAUGGAAGGGUGGGACCAUGGAGAGGUGGGAUCAUGAAAAGGUGGGAUCA
Molecule: long non-coding RNA, 742 nt
Filed under: Phasianus colchicus (ring-necked pheasant)
Lineage: Eukaryota; Metazoa; Chordata; Aves; Galliformes; Phasianidae
Description: lncRNA (ENSPCLG00000022044.1)
Source: RNAcentral